RNAcentral lists this ribosomal RNA (390 nucleotides) under uncultured bacterium. RNAcentral describes it as "bacterial SSU rRNA". It matches the Rfam family "Bacterial small subunit ribosomal RNA", at positions 28 to 414 of the family's 1533-position model. The record is from RNAcentral.
GAUGAACGCUAGCGGCAGGCUUAAUACAUGCAAGUCGAGGGGCAACAGGGGUAGCAAUACCUGCUGGCGACCGGCAAACGGGUGCGGAACACGUACAGAACCUUCCUUUAAGCGGGGAUAGCCCAUAGAAAUGUGGAUUAAUACCCCACUAGUAAUACUAGCUGGCAUCAGUUGGUAUUUAAAGAUUUAUCACUUAAAGAUGGCUGUGCGGCUGAUUAGGUAGUUGGUCGGGGUAACGGCCCACCAAGCCAACGAUCAGUAACUGGUGUGAGAGCACGACCAGUCACACGGGCACUGAGACACGGGCCCGACUCCUACGGGAGGCAGCAGUAAGGAAUAUUGGUCAAUGGACGCAAGUCUGAACCAGCCAUGCCGCGUGAAGGAUGAAGG